UGGCAACAUUAGGAAGAAAGCGGGUUCAUGGCGACCAGUGGGUUCACAUUCUUUGCCAAGACUGCCUCUCAUCGACCAGUGCCACAGGUGCCUCCCACUAGUCUCUUCACCACUUUCUCCCAUCUCCAACUCAGCAUGUUGAGGAAACCCAGUCCCCAAACCACCUCAGCUUGUUGGCAUACAUCACACCAGCUUCCAUCCAAACAAGAUCAUGUGGAUAAAAAAGGUGUAAGCCUUGAAAACAGCAACCUGGGAGGCAAUGUGGCUGUGAGUGCAGGAUCCCGGCUAUGCAUUCCAACUUCUAGGAACCUGGCUCUCCCACCC
RNAcentral lists this long non-coding RNA (324 nucleotides) under Fukomys damarensis (Damara mole-rat). RNAcentral's name for it is "lncRNA (ENSFDAG00000025559.1)". Lineage: Eukaryota; Metazoa; Chordata; Mammalia; Rodentia; Bathyergidae. The record is from RNAcentral.